RNA transcript from Cercocebus atys (sooty mangabey), 3077 nucleotides. It is a transcript of the gene named eukaryotic translation initiation factor 4A2, with no coding region annotated. The record is from RefSeq and is a predicted model, not a curated record. NCBI's taxonomy places the organism in Eukaryota, Metazoa, Chordata, Mammalia, Primates, Cercopithecidae. The transcript has 11 exons.
UUUUUCUCGCUGCAAAAUGUACCGGUAAACCAAACUUUCCGGGACUCGCUGGGUGGCCGACAUUUUCCCUAGCAGGAAUUUUACGUUUCCAAGAUCUGAAUGGAUGUUAAUGGUCGGGCUAAAUGCCAGGCAGGUCUUCACUGUCAAAUUAAACAGCGGUGGGAGCAAGUGGAAUAACCGAGUUCCCCUCCCGCACCUGAGCGCCGGCAGCGAGCCGCGAGUCCGGACCCCUCGCACGCGGGAAGACCCAGACGCCCGGCGGGCAGUGUCUCCGGCUUCCGCCUCCGGCUCCGGCUCCGGCUCCGGCUCCACUCCCCCGGCCCGCCUCUGCGUCAGGGACGCGGAAACCCCGUAGGAGCAGGGCGGGCGGGGAAAGUGGUGUUUGACUAACGCCGCAGCGAUAUUCUUCCGCCGCGAGGUAAAGAGUCCCAACCCAACCCCGGGCCCUAGGAUUUCCAGCGACCCUAUAAUAUCGAGAAAUUACCACAUUUGGAUUUUCCAACCGGCUUGCUUAGGAUUUUAUCCGACGUAACGACCCCAGGAUCACAAUUUUGUGGCUGACCGAAGCACGGCGAGAAAAUUCCUCCGCAAGAAACGGGUUCCGGCCACGAGCCUAUAAAAAACGGGUGGCGGGGCGCUGCUGUCUUUUCAGUCGGGCGCUGAGUGGUUUUUCGGAUCAUGUCUGGUGGCUCCGCGGAUUAUAACAGAGAACAUGGCGGCCCAGAGGGAAUGGACCCCGAUGGUGUCAUCGAGAGCAACUGGAAUGAGAUUGUUGAUAACUUUGAUGAUAUGAAUUUAAAGGAGUCUCUUCUUCGUGGCAUCUAUGCUUACGGUUUUGAGAAGCCUUCCGCUAUUCAGCAGAGAGCUAUUAUUCCCUGUAUUAAAGGGUAUGAUGUGAUUGCUCAAGCUCAGUCAGGUACUGGCAAGACAGCCACAUUUGCUAUUUCCAUCCUGCAACAGUUGGAGAUUGAGUUCAAGGAGACCCAAGCACUAGUAUUGGCCCCCACCAGAGAACUGGCUCAACAGAUCCAAAAGGUAAUUCUGGCACUUGGAGACUAUAUGGGAGCAACUUGUCAUGCCUGCAUUGGUGGAACAAAUGUUCGAAAUGAAAUGCAAAAACUGCAGGCUGAAGCACCACAUAUUGUUGUUGGUACACCUGGGAGAGUUUUUGAUAUGUUAAACAGAAGAUAUCUUUCUCCAAAAUGGAUCAAAAUGUUUGUUUUGGAUGAAGCAGAUGAAAUGUUGAGCCGUGGGUUUAAGGAUCAAAUCUAUGAGAUUUUCCAAAAACUAAACACAAGUAUUCAGGUUGUGUUGCUUUCUGCCACAAUGCCAACGGAUGUGUUGGAAGUGACCAAAAAAUUCAUGAGAGAUCCAAUUCGAAUUCUGGUGAAAAAGGAAGAAUUGACCCUUGAAGGAAUCAAACAGUUUUAUAUUAAUGUUGAGAGAGAGGAAUGGAAGUUGGAUACACUUUGUGACUUGUACGAGACACUGACCAUUACGCAAGCUGUUAUUUUUCUCAAUACAAGGCGCAAGGUGGACUGGCUGACUGAGAAAAUGCAUGCCAGAGACUUCACAGUUUCUGCUCUGCAUGGUGACAUGGACCAGAAGGAGAGAGAUGUUAUCAUGAGGGAAUUCCGGUCAGGGUCAAGUCGUGUUCUGAUCACUACUGACUUGUUGGCUCGCGGGAUUGAUGUGCAACAAGUGUCUUUGGUUAUAAAUUAUGAUCUACCUACCAAUCGUGAAAACUAUAUUCACAGGUGAGAAGCUAGCAUCUUGGAUGUAUUGAAAAAAAAUUCAUACAUUUUUCUACUGUGAUUUGUAUGAAAGGUAACAUCAAAUCAAAGAAUAGAUUCAGUCAAGUCAGUAGUGUUCAGUAAGAUGAUGUAAUUAAAUUUGUACUAAGGGAAGGCUGACGAGAACAAAGUGGGAAAACUUGUAAACAUUGCUCAGAUUGUGGGCAUAGGUUUUUUUUUUCCCCCGCAAUUGUUGGUCUUAGCUUAUGCUUGAGCUUUUAGUGAUGUUCUUGUGUCCAUGUGCUUUUUCUUGAUUUUUUCCAUAGUUGGGAUUUUCUUGGUGUCGCCUGGUAGCAAUUUGAGUGAACCCUGGUUUAGUUAUAGUGGCUUUAUCCCUAAAUAAAUUGAAUCGUACUUUGUUAUGUGAUGUAAAAAAAGACUUUUUAAAAAAUACAGGAGUCGAUAGCAGCAGUUGAUGACGAGAUGGCACUCAGAAACGGCGUUGACGUAAUUUAGGACGUGGAAUCAUAAGCGAAACAGCACACUGUUUGAAUAAAGAGCGAGUCGAAUUGGCAGAGGGGGUCGAUUUGGGAGGAAAGGUGUGGCUAUAAACUUUGUUACUGAAGAAGACAAGAGGAUUCUUCGUGACAUUGAGACUUUCUACAAUACUACAGUGGAGGAGAUGCCCAUGAAUGUGGCUGACCUUAUUUAAUUCCUGGGAUGAGAGUUUUGGAUGCAGUGCUCGCUGUUGCUGAAUAGGCGAUCACAACGUGCAUUGUGCUUCUUUCUUUGGGAAUAUUUGAAUCUUGUCUCAAUGCUCAUAACGGAUCAGAAAUACAGAUUUUGAUAGCAAAGCGACAUUAGUCGUGAGCUCUUGUGAGGAAAGUCAUUGGCUUUAUCCUCUUUAGAGUUAGACUGUUGGGGUGGGUAUAAAAGAUGGGGUCUGUAAAAUCUUUCUUUCUUAGAAAUUUAUUUCCUAGUUCUGUAGAAAUGGUUGUAUUAGAUGUUCUCUAUCAUUUAAUAAUAUACUUGUGGACUAAAAGAUAUAAGUGCUGUAUAAAAUCAGCCAAUUAUGUUAAACUAGCAUAUCUGCCUUUAUUGUGUUUGUCAUUAGCCUGAGUAGAAAGGCCUUUAAAAUUUUUUUUAGAAAGCAUUUGAAUGCAUUUUGUUUGGUAUUGUAUUUAUUCAAUAAAGUAUUUAAUUAGUGCUAAGUGUGAACUGGACCCUGUUGCUAAGCCCCAGCAAGCAAUCAUCCUAGGUAGGGUUUAAUCCCCAGUAAAAUUGCCAUAUUGCACAUGUCUUAAUGAAGUUUGAAUGUUAAAUAAAUUGUAUAUUCACUUUAAA